AAGACCAUAGUCAAUAUAUUAUGACUUAUGAUUUGCACUCAUAAAGAGUUCAUUUAGAACUGGUUUUG
RNAcentral lists this transfer RNA (68 nucleotides) under Eucrate crenata. RNAcentral describes it as "tRNA-Ala". The record is from RNAcentral. Lineage: Eukaryota; Metazoa; Arthropoda; Malacostraca; Decapoda; Goneplacidae.